GCUCCGGACCCGCGCAAUGGAAAUCCAUGAACCGUGUCAGGUCGGAGACGAAGCAGCACUAAGUGGAACCUUCCAUGUGACGCGGGUUUCCGGGGUCAA
This 99-nucleotide signal recognition particle RNA is filed under the name Lachnospiraceae bacterium. Its description in RNAcentral is "signal recognition particle sRNA small type". It matches the Rfam family "Bacterial small signal recognition particle RNA". Rfam says of the family: The signal recognition particle (SRP) is a universally conserved ribonucleoprotein involved in the co-translational targeting of proteins to membranes. Archaeal SRP consists of a 7S RNA and homologues of the eukaryotic SRP19 and SRP54 proteins. The record is from RNAcentral. Lineage: Bacteria; Bacillati; Bacillota; Clostridia; Lachnospirales; Lachnospiraceae.